GGAAUUGUUCAAUAGAAAAAGUAAACUGACCAUCAUGGCAGAUUGUGUUCUUUCUCUUUACAAAGAACAAACAGGGAACAAAGAAGAGUUAGUUUUUCUUCCAGAAAAAGCAAGGAAAAGACCUCCAUGAAAGCUAAUUGUUGAUGGCCAUUCUCUGCCAAAAUAGUAGCUUCCUUCUUUUAUGACCUUGAAAAAGAAAAUAUCCUUUUUAAGAUUUGCUGCCAAUUAUUUAAAAAAAAAUUUAAAAAAAGCCCCUUCUCUAGUAUUUCCUAUAAAUAUGAAAAGAGGUGAACAGAUCAAGG
Molecule: long non-coding RNA, 302 nt
Filed under: Prunus persica (peach)
Lineage: Eukaryota; Viridiplantae; Streptophyta; Magnoliopsida; Rosales; Rosaceae
Description: long non-coding RNA (PPER_LNC006143)
Source: RNAcentral